GGCUGUGAGAACAGUCGCUGUGUCCGGGUUCAGUAGGGUUACACCUGCUACUGCUUCACUGGAUACACUCUGGACCUGUGCCGCAUGGCAUACAUGGAUAAAAAAGCACAUUCAUACGUAAACCCACAAAAACAAACCUUCAUAAAUGAAACUGUGAUGAUAUUUUUCUCCAUCCGCAGACAUGAUGAGCGUUCAGAACUUAACACCCUGAUGUUGUUGUGUAAAAUGCAAAGUGCAACAACACAAUGUGUGUGUCUGCCAGGCGUCACUCCACCUGACAACUACUGUGUGGAGGCAGCAACAAACCCAACAUGGACACAAACACAGUGAGCCAGGACGGACACUAGGGGCCACAAAAGACAUGGAAACCACACACAUCAGCUUGUAUUACUAUACUUGUGAGGACAUCUGUGAUUUCUAUGUAGUCAAGUUCUCAACACUUGAAGAUGAACUGUCUGGAUUUGUCCACGUGUCCACCAGAACCACAAAAUCCCCAAAAAUGAUCUUCAGAGGAAACCAAGGAGAAAGGUUUAGAUGGGGGGUCAAUCUAAUUCUAUCAGGGGGGUCCCUUUAAAUGAUUUGAAGUACCACAAUGUUGGUUUGCCAAAUACUUGCCUUUGAAGCAAAACAGUCCAGAUUCAUGUUUGACGUCCUGAUUUUAAACCUGCUUUUACAGAUCUUCAGUUUUAUCUUUUUCUGAUAGUUUUUCACACCAGUGUUUUUCAAUGUGGAGCUUUUGUAAAGACACCUUUUCAAACUGCUAUGAAGUACUGUCAAGGUUUUGAAAGUAAAUAUUAGGUAUUGAUAUCUGCCAGUUUGAUCGUCAACACUGUAACUUGCUGUGUUUUGUAUGAUCUGAAAAACUUUAAAACUUUUUAAGAUAUGCCAAGUUGUUGAAGAUUUUGUUUCAGAUAUAUCAGUGGAGCUUGAUACUGGUCUCCUAUAUGACACAAAAAGUUUUUCAAGCAACCACAAGCUUUAUCGCUUCCUCAAACAGAAUUAAUCCAUGUUCUUGUCUUUCAAAUAUAAACCCUGAAUUAAAGAUUCAUUUUCAGGUGGUCUGUCCACAAGGGCUGUCACUUUUUAUCAGGAAGAGUUCAAACCUUCAUUUGAACUGUGGGGGUAAAGUUCAAACUCAAACUAUACUGAGAUAUCUUCAUGAUAAUAGAGUAGACCAGAGCAUCAGGCUGCCUGAAGUAGCUUCGUAGACCUAUGAUCCUGCAGAGAGCUCUCUCAUCAUAACCUGGCCAAUCCAUGCACUCUGGACCUCAGUAAACUAACACAGUGAUGUUAUUCUACAAAACUGGAGGACAUAGUCAAACAAAGCUGCACUGAGCAGACAAUCGGGACACCAGAACCAAGACCAAUCUCUGAUACAAGCCUGCUCCACAGAAAGGACCAAGACCUUAGGCAGUUACAGCAAAUAAAAGAGGCACCUAUAUUUGAGGAAUUACGGCAUUUCAAUCAGUACCAGUCAAGGUCAAGCAGUUCCCAAAAAUAUCACUGCUCACCACCUGGCAGAUAGAAAUAAAGUAAUCCCCCCAGUUUCAGAGAGUUUUCACAGUCCUUUGACACCAGAAUGGUGGACCCACCAGUCAGCACAGUGAAGCGCAGCGCAGUCUCGGGCUGACAUACUGGGGAGCACUGAAGUUUGGGAACAACAGCUUCAAAGAAGCUCAGGCCCUGUUUUCUACUGUCUGUGGUUUCAACACUAUGUGCUGUCAACAGUGUUCAGACAUUAGACUAAACCGUUGGACCUCUGGCCUUUGACCCAGCUGUUGAACUUGGAAAGCUGCUGAAUAACUUACCUUCACUUCAAUCAACUUAGACAAAAGAACUGGUUUUCUUUCCUAGCUCCACAUUUAAAGGAGUCCCUGAUGGGUCAGUCUGAACCAUGUUCAGUUUAUUUUUAUAAACAGGAUCAUAGAGUCUGAGCUGAAAAACUUUGACCUGACACUGUGGGCUAAAAGACUGUCUCAAACACAUGUGAGCCAUCUAGAGUUUCUCCAAGCACAGCUUUGUACACUUUCUCCGUGAGUGUCUUUGAAAGAACAGGCAUACAAGCACAUCCGCACACACAGACUCGCAUAUACACAGACAGGUACCUAAUCAAAGCCCAUAUAUUGUGCACUGUAUGAGAAACACACUAAAUGAAACAAACAGUCAUUUACUUGAGUUAAGAUAAAACAUCAUCCACUAUGUGAUGCCUUUAUGGGGAUAGAAACACAGAAUUGUCUAUAAAAUCCAUGUUUUGUCUGUUUGUUUCUUAUUUUUGUUCAGAGUACAGAAUAUAGAGGAAUCAUGACUAUGGUGGUCGAGAAGGGUCAAAGAUCUGCAGCUGAAUGAUCUUCAUAAGGAAAAAAGUGUUGCAAUUGUGAUUUUUUUCAUUUUUGGUUCAUAGUUCUAUUGAACUUAUCUAACACAGCCAUUGCUGGAGGUCUGCAGUCCUUCAAUUGCAGCAGUAUAUUUACUUUAACAUAAAAAGUGCUGAAAAGUCUCUUUGUCUGUGUACUUCAAAAUUGUGCAUCUUGUGCUUACCCC
Molecule: long non-coding RNA, 2541 nt
Filed under: Xyrichtys novacula (pearly razorfish)
Lineage: Eukaryota; Metazoa; Chordata; Actinopteri; Labriformes; Labridae
Source: RNAcentral